RNAcentral lists this ribosomal RNA (415 nucleotides) under uncultured bacterium. RNAcentral's name for it is "bacterial SSU rRNA". It matches the Rfam family "Bacterial small subunit ribosomal RNA", at positions 355 to 767 of the family's 1533-position model. The record is from RNAcentral.
UGAGGAAUAUUGGUCAAUGGACGGAAGUCUGAACCAGCCAUGCCGCGUGAAGGAUGAAGGCGUUCUGCGUUGUAAACUUCUUUUAUCUGGGAAGAAACCACAGAUUUCUAUUUGUGUUGACGGUACCAGAGGAAUAAGCACCGGCUAACUCCGUGCCAGCAGCCGCGGUAAUACGGAGGGUGCGAGCGUUAUCCGGAUUUACUGGGUUUAAAGGGUGCGUAGGCGGGCUAUUAAGUCAGAGGUGAAAUCUCCGGGCUCAACCUGGAAACUGCCUUUGAUACUAUUAGCCUUGAAUUAUGUUGAGGUUGGCGGAAUAUAACAUGUAGCGGUGAAAUGCUUAGAUAUGUUAUGGAACACCCAUUGCGAAGGCAGCUGGCUAAACAUAUAUUGACGCUGAUGCACGAAAGCGUGGGUA